GUGCUCACUUCGGCAGCACAUAUACUAAAAUUGGAAUGAUACAGAGAAGAUUAGCAUGGCCCCUGCACAAGGAUGACGCACAAAUUUAUGAAGCGAUUCAUAUUUAA
Ictidomys tridecemlineatus (thirteen-lined ground squirrel) is the source of this 107-nucleotide small nuclear RNA. The record is from Ensembl. NCBI's taxonomy places the organism in Eukaryota, Metazoa, Chordata, Mammalia, Rodentia, Sciuridae.